This is a long non-coding RNA of Myotis daubentonii (Daubenton's bat), 3711 nucleotides long. RefSeq lists it as uncharacterized. The record is from RefSeq and is a predicted model, not a curated record. The transcript has 2 exons. Lineage: Eukaryota; Metazoa; Chordata; Mammalia; Chiroptera; Vespertilionidae.
UUUGCUUUAUUUCCCCUCUUAAACAUAUGGACACGUUUCACUGGAAUUGAUACGCAUUCUUACAUCAGACACGAUUCAGGUCCCGGUGCCUGACCAGUUCUCCCCCUUCCCCUUAGUCCACCGUGAGGUGGCUGCUGGGAACAGUUGCGUGUGUCCUCCCAGAUCUUUUUUGUUUAUUUGCAUACUUAUAAAUGUACAUGUCUGUUUGACGGGUUGAUUUUUUUCUAAUACAUGGCAUCAUACUGUAUGCAUUAUUCUCUAAUCCCCCGUUUCUCACGCCACUUACCGUUCAGGUUUCUGUCAUGCAGGGCUUCCGGGGUUGAAGGUUGCACAGCCCCCGUAGGAAUGAUUUGUUUUCCUCAGCUGCCGUUUUCUGGGAUUUGCAGAGCCGGCGUGUGGGAGGCAAUCUGGAAUUGCAGAAGGGGCAUGAGUUUAACUUCUCACUCGUCACUUGAGAGGCCCUCCCACACGCGUGACACCUCUCCUGUGGCUAGACGCCUCGUAUCUGUUCUUGGUUCCCUCCGCUCCGCAACAUUAUUGAGGACCUGCUGUCUGCCAGCCCUGUUUUGUUCGUGGACAUCGUGGUAGUGACUAGUUCCUGCUCUCGUGACUCUUAUAUUUAAACGGAGGAAGGCAAAACCAAGUGCACGCUUCUGUGCAUGGCAGGCGGGGGCACAGAGACCAGCAAACACAUAGAUACCACCUGGCCCCCCUUAGCCUCCGAUGAAGACCCCAGGGGAGUGCUGAGUCUGGCCCACCCGGAAGCCGGCCGCAGCCUUGCGGUCAGUCAGCUCCCUGACUCUGGUUCCGCCCGGCCGCGCAGCUUGUUCUGUCCUCAGCCUGCCCCUGGCGCUCACCGGCUCCUCUGAGAAAGCCCGCUCGGCUGCGAAGCGGGAGCUGUGCUCUGGGGACCGGGUAGCUGCGAGCUGGUGCGCUGGCUCAUCUCAAGUGGGUGUCCGUGUUUCCGAGAACCCCACUGGCUGCCUCCACGGGCCCCACGCAGGAUCGCUCCCAGUAGGGGAUUCCUUCAGGGAAGGGCGCCUGGUCUGUGGGCAAAGGAUUCCCUUGGGCUCUUAACAUGACUGAACGUUUACUAAAACUGACCCAAACCGCGGCUGGGUUGUGCUGCUAAAUGGUUGCUGUAGCGACUAGUCAUCUGCUUUGAGAUCCACAGAAUUUCCCCGCUUGGAGACCCAGCGCUAGUAAGCAUACCUGAUCUUCACGCUCCUCAGCCGACUCAGUUUAAUGACUGAUUUGUCCUCUUGAAGCUUAUUCACUGGUUUUUGGCACCUCAUUUCUCGGUGCUUUCUGGUGGAGCAGAAUGUGUCGUCUUGAUAGCAUUGUUAAGAGAGUCGGUGAUUGCUGACCAACACGGUGAUUUCUUUGUUCUUCUUAGUGAUCUUUGGCCUCUAAAAAAUAGGUGGUGAAAUGGAUGUAGAACUUUUUGGGGGUAAAUACUUUAUUUUUUGACAUGUUUUUUAUUGAUUUUAGAGAAAGAGGAAGGAAGAAGGAGAGAGAAACAUUGAUCGGUUGUCUCCCGUACGCACCCCACUUGAGAAUCAAACCCAAAACCCAGAUGUAUGCCCUGGCUGGGAAUCGAACCAGCGACCUUCCAGUGCGUGGGAUGAAGCUCAACCAACUGAGCACACCAGCCAGGGCUCGAGGGUUCAUACUCGAGGGGUAACCGCAGCCGUUAAGUUCUUUCCUCCUAGAGCAGCGUCCGCCUUUCCUCUGUCACGUACUUGCAUUGAGUUAGAGAAAAGGGUGUCUCUCAGAAAACAGAUCAGCUGCUGAGUCCAGACUGUUUUCUGGCAUUUUUCUACACACAGACUCAGAGCAAAGAAUAGUACUGAUGCCGCAAAACUUAGCCUUGGCUCAGGGCCGGCUCACCCUCCUACCUCUUAACCGUCCCAUGCACUCAGGUCUGCUCUCAGCCACUUGCUGUUACAGAAGAGCGAGCCAGGGCUGGGCCGGGGAAGCGAGACUGACAGCUUCUGGUUCUUCUGUUUAAUUAAGCAAGGGAACCUUUGCCCUUUGCCCAGCAGCAGGGGGAGACUUUUCUGUUGUUUUAUACUAUGUCUAUUGUAAUUUCAAACUUUUCAAGUUGGGAGGACUCCCAUGUAUGCUUUGCUGUGCUUGGUUGUGGGAGCCCAUUUCUGUUCCUCUUUAUGUCCUUCGUUAGUUUGAAGGCAAAUAACAUGCAAACCUCUGGUAUCCCUCCCGUGAAGUACUGCAAUGAAAUCACAACGUCCUGCACUUUGUGAGGUCCUGAGCUGGGGAACAUCCCUCACGAGGCAUCGGCUCUGGGGUAGACAUGAGCCGGCUGCCCUUGCCUCUGCCACAGCAGCACAGCCGGCUUCCCUGAUCGAACGCCUCUGGCCCGGCCGGCGUGGCUCAGUGGUUGAGUGUCGACCUAUGAACCAGGUCAUGGGGUCUAUUCCUGGUCAGGGAAUCACAUGCCUGGGUUGCAGGCUUGAUCCCCAGUGUGGGGUGUGUAUGAGGCAACCAACCAGUGAUUCUCUCUCAUCACUGAUGUUUCUCUCUCUCUCCCUCUCCUUUCCUCUCUGAAAUCAGUAGAAAUAUAUAUUUUUUUUAAAAAAAAAGAGAAAGAAAUGCCUCUGUAGAUACAUGUGCCUUUGAUCACGCAGUGAGCCAUCGCUGCCUUCACAGGCCCUCGUCCUCGUAAGGAUCUGAGAGGGGUGCUUUCUGACGUCACUCUGAAGUGACCGCCGUGCACUGGCUGGAACAGUGUCAGUGAGACUUAGAGUAAUGGGUCGUGCAGGGAGGAACUCCAGCAGCCUCUCUGCUUAAAUCUGUUGUAAUGGAAGCUUGGGGUCUCCGGCGCCCCAGGAUCCAACAGCCUGAGUGCUACUGGCACUGGUGUCUUGGUAACGGGCCCUCUUCAGUGAUUACAAAUGAGCAGCCUUGCUUCUCUUGCAUUUCAUUUGAUUGCAGUACCUUCAGUCAUCAGCCUGGCUCAUCAGGCAUCAUCAUUUCAUGGGAGGGCUGAGCCGUGUGUCCUUCCCCUUCGUAGGAAGUGACUGCGGGUACAUGGGUUCUGUGUGUGUUCGUGUGUUAAAUGUUCCUUGGAGCCCAGAUGGCAUGGCUCAGUGGUUGAACAUCAACCUGUGAACCAGAAGGUCACGGUUUAAUUCCCAGUCAGGGCACACGCUUGGAGCUUGAUCCUCAGGCUCGAUCCCCAGUGUGGGGCUACAGGAGGCAGCCAGUCAGUGACUCUCUCUCAUCGUGGAUGUUUCUCUCUCCCUAUCCCUUCCUCUCUGGAAUCAAUAAAAAUAUGUUAAAAAAAGAAAGUUCCCUGGGUCCUGGUCAGUGUAACUCAGUGGUUAGAGCCUCAUUCUUUGCACUGAAGGGUUGUGGGUUUGAUCCCUGGUCAGGGUGUGUGUGAGGCAGCCAAUCGAUGUUUCUCUUUCUCUUCCUUCCUCUCUUUCUAGAAUCAAUGAAAAACAUAUCUUCGGGUGAGAAUUUAAAAAUUCCCUGGGCCCUGGCUGGCAAGCUCAGUGGUUAGAGCAUGCCCCUGCAUACCAGAGGGUCUCGGGUUUGAUUUUCGGUCAAGGGCAUGUACCUGGGUGUGGGUUCGUUCCCCUGACCUGGUCAGGGCAUAUGUGGGAGGCAACGGAUCAAUGUCUCUUUCUCUUUCUCUCCCACCCUCUUUUUGUCCCUCCCACUCCUUUCCCUUCUACUCUCUAUUAA